GAUGAACGCUGGCGGCGUGCUUAACACAUGCAAGUCGAACGAAGCACCUUGAUUCGUUUCUUCGGAUGAAGAUCUUGGGGACUGAGUGGCGGACGGGUGAGUAACGCGUGGGUAACCUGCCUCAUACAGGGGGAUAACAGUUAGAAAUGACUGCUAAUACCGCAUAAGACCACAGCACCGCAUGGUGCAGGGGUAAAAACUCCGGUGGUAUGAGAUGGACCCGCGUCUGAUUAGGUAGUUGGUGGGGUAACGGCGUACCAAGCCGACGAACAGUAGCCGACCGGAAAGAGUGACAAUAUAAGUUCGAACAGAGACACGGCGCAAAGUCGUACGGGAGGCAGCAGUGGGGAAUAUUGAACGAAGAAGAAAACCCUGAUGAGGCUAAGCCGCGUGAGUGAUGAAGUAUUUCGGUAUGUAAAGCUCUAUCAGCAGGGAAGAAAAUGACGGUACCGGAGUAAGAAGAACCGGCUAAAUACGUG
This 479-nucleotide ribosomal RNA is filed under the name uncultured bacterium. Its description in RNAcentral is "partial 16S ribosomal RNA". It matches the Rfam family "Bacterial small subunit ribosomal RNA", at positions 28 to 507 of the family's 1533-position model. The record is from RNAcentral.